UAUCCCAGUUUUCCCUUCCUGAUGCACACAGCAAUGUUCUUUUUAUGCAACUUGCAAUCUCUGCCUACAAGAAAGAUAACUAUCUUACAGGGACAGAUCAAUCUUCUGCAUGCUCUGCAUUUCCCUAACAAGCUCCACCGGAGCAUUCAGAGCUGAGGAUCCACACCUAGGAGCUCUCUUCAAAAGGAGACAUUACAGAGGAAGGAGUCAAACAUUACUGCAUCUCCGAGCUCAAAAGGAAGAUCUUAAUAAGGACUGCUGAACCUGACUAGCUGCUUUGUAGUCACGUGUGUGCCCAGCUGACAGAAGAAUGAAGUCAGCCUACAGCCAGAUGGGAGGAAGGAUGUGCCCAGGUCUGAAUGCAUCUGUACUGCAGGCUCUGAGAAAUUAAAGCCCAGAGAUUUACAACUGUCUGCC
This is a non-coding RNA of Meleagris gallopavo (turkey), 417 nucleotides long. Lineage: Eukaryota; Metazoa; Chordata; Aves; Galliformes; Phasianidae. The record is from RefSeq and is a predicted model, not a curated record.